AACGAACGCUGGCGGCAUGCCUAACACAUGCAAGUCGAACGAGACCUUCGGGUCUAGUGGCGCACGGGUGCGUAACGCGUGGGAACCUGCCCUUAGGUUCGGAAUAACUCCCCGAAAGGGGUGCUAAUACCGGAUAAUGUCUUCGGACCAAAGAUUUAUCGCCUUUGGAUGGGCCCGCGUUGGAUUAGCUAGUUGGUAGGGUAAAAGCCUACCAAGGCGACGAUCCAUAGCUGGUCUGAGAGGAUGAUCAGCCACACUGGGACUGAGACACGGCCCAGACUCGUACGGGAGGAAGCAGGGCGGAAUAUUGGGCAACUGGCGAAAGUCUUACUCAGCAAUGCCGCGUGAGUGAUGAAGGACUUAGGGUUGUAAAGCUCUGUUACCCGGGAUGAUAAUGACAGUACCGGGUGAAUAAGCCCCGGCUAACUCCGUG
This 433-nucleotide ribosomal RNA is filed under the name uncultured bacterium. RNAcentral describes it as "partial 16S ribosomal RNA". It matches the Rfam family "Bacterial small subunit ribosomal RNA", at positions 29 to 507 of the family's 1533-position model. The record is from RNAcentral.